GACGAACGCUGGCGGCGUGCUUAACACAUGCAAGUCGAACGGAAAGGCCCUGCUUUUGUGGGGUGCUCGAGUGGCGAACGGGUGAGUAACACGUGAGUAACCUGCCCUUGACUUUGGGAUAACUUCAGGAAACUGGGGCUAAUACCGGAUAGGAGCUCCUGCUUCAUGGUGGGGGUUGGUAAGUUUCGUCGGUUGGGGAUGGACUCGCGGCUUAUCAGCUUGUUGGUGGGGUAGUGGCUUACCAAGGCUUUGACGGGUAGCCGGCCUGAGAGGGUGACAGGAGACAAUGGGACUGAGAUACGGAACAGACGCGAACGGGAGGCAGCAGUGGGGAAUAGUGCAAAAUGGGAGGAAGCCUGAUGCAGAAACGCCGCGUGCGGGAUGACGGCCUUCGGGUUGUAAACCGCUUUAGCAUGUGACGAAGCGUGAGUGACGGUAAUGGGUAAAGAAGCAACGGCUAACUACGUG
RNAcentral lists this ribosomal RNA (468 nucleotides) under uncultured bacterium. RNAcentral's name for it is "partial 16S ribosomal RNA". It matches the Rfam family "Bacterial small subunit ribosomal RNA", at positions 28 to 507 of the family's 1533-position model. The record is from RNAcentral.